AGUUGUCCUAAGAAAUUGAUUUUUAAUGAAAUAUAUUUACUUUUACGGUUCUCUUUCAGCACAGAUAAAAUGCUUAUUUAAUUUUUUAGUUUCUUGAGACAGGACAAUAGACAAGCCUAUUCAAAAGAAAAUGGCAAACCUGGAGGGUUUAAAGCACAAGCUAAGAAAACAUAUGCUCAAUUUCACAGUAGGUGAAACUGAACAAACUCUAGGUAAAUUAACUGCUCCGGAAACUCUAUGCCAUUCUGUGUAGUCAGCAUAUUUUUGAGCAGUCAGGAUUUCACUAAGGUAAAGAAUUCCAAAGUCACCUGCUUAGAGAUGCACAUCCUCUGUGAUGGCAAUUUUAUGUACAAGCCUGACUGGGUUAAGGGGUGCCAAGAUAACCGAAAGGUAUUAUUUCUGGACGUGCUCAUGAAGCCUCUUUCAGAAGUCCAAUGAUUUAAUCAGUAAUUAAGUAAAGAUCUACUUUCACCAAUGUCGCCAGCACUAUGCAAUCCAUGGAGGACUCAAUACGAGAAAAAGGUGAAGGAAGAACAAAUCUGCUCUCUGCUUGAUCCCUUACAACAUGAUUUCCCGUCCUUGGGCAUCAGUGCUACUGGUCCUUUGGCUUUGGGACUAGGAUCCAAACUUACUAUCAGCCAACCCAAGCCUUCAGUAUCAGGCUGAAUUGUACAACUGGUCACUGAUUUUCUUGGCUCUUUAGCUUGUGGACAACUGGCCAUCAUGUAACUUCUCAACCUCCAUAAUCUUGUGAGCCAUUCCCCAUAAUAAUUUCAUAGACAGACUGAUACAAACACAGAUAAACUGAUCCUGUUUGUUCAGUUUCUCUGGAUAACCCUAGUUACUAAUAGACUAACUUUCCUAAAAAUAGAAAUUGUGGAAAAGGAAAUGAAGGAGAAAUAGCAUGUUGAAUUCCUGUGAACGAGGCACUUUUCCAGCUUUAUCUCUUUGAAUCUUCUUAAGAAUAUUACCCUGAGAAACUCAUCAUUAUAUCCAUUUUAUACAGGUAAAAAUAGUGAGAUAUAGGGAACUAUGACUUCCUUAGGGACAUAAAGCUAGAUAACUAGGAAAUAUAUUUCAAACCCACAAUUGUCUGAUUACAAAUCUUAUGCUAUUUUCUUUGUUAGUGAAAGAUAUUUGAAAAUGUACAUCUAUCCAAUUUACUCCUUUGCCCCUUCCUUAGAAAUUGUCUUCAUUAUUUUUUAAAUAAUUUAUAUACUACAUUCUUAAUUCUAGUGUUGAAAAAUAGAUGAUUUUCCUUUCAAUACAAAUUUUCUUUGUGUCUUACUUUAUGUAUUUUCUCAAUUUAUUUCCUAUCUCUUUUUUUUCUUCUACUUUGCAUCAUUUUCUCUAAUGAGGAUGAGUCCAUGCUACCCCAAUUUGUGGCAUCUUGGCAGUUGUAAAAACAAUAGAAAGAGGAUGCCCUUCAAAGAAGGAGGUACCUUUCUCUGAAGGGAGGAGAGAACUUCCACUUUGACCAUGGCCUUGUCUAAAAAUGAUCAGAGUCAGUGAACUCAGGGCACUUCCAUAGCCUUGGCAGCUCAUGACAAGAGCCUAGGGUGAUUACUGAGGCCAUAAACAAGAGUGUCAAUUUGUUAAGUCAACAACAGGAGUCACUGUGCACUUACUCCUCAUGUAGGAUCUUUGUCCUUAGUGUGCUGUACAUUGAGAUUUAAUGCUAUAACUAGUACUCAAACAGUAUUUUUCACUUUAUGUUUCUGUGUGGGAGCAAACUGUUGAAAUCUUUACUUAAUGUAUGCUAAACUGAUCUUCUGUAUAUAAAGAGAAUCGAAAAUGAAUCUUGAUGUGAAUGGAAGGGGAGAGGUAGUGGGAAAGGGGAGGGUUGCGGGUUGGAGGGACGUUAUGGGGGGAAGUCAUUAUAAUCAAUAUUCUGUACUUUGGAAAUUUAUAUUCAUUAAAUAAAAGUUAAAAAAAAAAGAAAGAGGAUGCCUUCUCUCUUCUUCUUCCACUCUUCCCCUGAAGCAGGCCAUAAAGUAAUUUUAUAACCUUCCACUGAUGUAGAUAAUAAGACCCUCAAGUGAGAGCUGUCAUUAUGUCCUUAGAAGAAAGGGAUGUCCUAACCUCUGAAGACACAGGGUUACAGAGAAGAAUCUAUCGAAACAUUCCAUGGUUCCUGAACUGCGUAAUCAAUUCCAGGGCUGUCCAAUAUGACUUUCCAAUUAGAGUAUCCCAAUCUACUUUCCAAUCUACAGUGUACAAGCCAUUUGCCACAAUAUCUAGAGGAACCUGAAAACAUUAUUCCAAAUGAAGACACUUAUGAGAAAAUAAAAGAGUGGUUACUAGAGAAAUAUAAAAAGUAGAUAGACCCUCCUGGUUCCACUCCAAGCAUGUAUACUUAUACAGAGAUUAGAAUGAGAAUGAUGUUUCUGGAUUUAUCCAGCAUUAUAGACAUCUUGGAUACAUAUAGGAUUAUUGAGCUAUGUAUACAUUAAGGCCACCUUCUCAUGGUAGAGAUUUCCUGCAUGAGAAAAAUCAGUGAUCUUGUUUUCAUUCAGAAGAAAACAAUGGGUUGUCUUCAGCACAUCUGGUUGCAAGACAGAACAAUGAGAAGCUGAUAACAAAAUAAUGUCGCAUAAUGAAGUACUUCAGGUAUGUGAAAUGUGAAUCUCCAAAGAGAUUAGAGCUGUAAUUUGUACUUGGUUCUGAAGAUGAACACCUGUAAUAGUCACUUUCCCAUGGUAAUUGUCUUUAUAAAAUUAACAGUGAUUCAGAUUUAUAUUUGAGGAUUAAUCCAUAUUGAAUUGGAGAGCUAAGGUAAUUUCAAGUAAAUACAGAUGCUUUUUCUCUAGGUCAAAGGCAAGUUUUAUAAGGUUACAAGACUGGUUUUAUAAAUGAAAAGCAAAGGUUAGGAAAGUGGCAUUCAUGUGUUUGGCUAAUUAGUUUCUCUUUAAGCAUGCAAAUACCUACAAAGAAAGGAGAGAGCUGGCAUAUGGCUCAUCUAUCCCACCUUUGAGACUAUAUUCAAGGGAAUGAAAUUAAUGUAUGACAGAGAUAGCUGCACUCUCAUGUUUAUUACAGCACUAUUCACAAUGGCUAUGUAAUCAACCUCAAUAUCCGUAGGUGGAUGAGCAGAUAAAAGAAUGUGAGGCUCCAAUACAUUUACAAUGGAGUAUUAUGUACUCCAUAUACAUGUAUAAUGGAGUAUAAUUCUAUCAUAAAAAAGAACGAUAUUCUGACAUUUGUUGCAAGGUGGAUGGAAUUGGAGAUCAUUAUAUUUAGUGAAAUAAGCCACACACAGAAAGACAAAUAUUGCAGGUUCUCUUUGAAACAUGGAAGUUAAACAAGUAGUUGAUUUGAUCAUUGAAUAGUGAUUACUAGAGGCUGGGAAAAGAGGGUGGAUAGAAGAGAGAGGAGGAUGGAGAAGAUGUACCAAAACAGAGGUAGAGUGACAAGCCCUAGCGUUCUGCAGCACAGCGGGGAGACUGUACUUCAUACUAAUAUAUAAUAUGCUGUAUGAAGAACCAGAGAGAAGGGUCUCAUAGGUUGCACACACAAAGCAUAGUUAAGGGAAUGGGUAGGCCAGGUACCUGUUUUGAUUUGCUUACACUGGCUGCAUGUGUUGAAAAGUCACACUGUUCCCCAUAAAUGUGUACAAAUAUUACAUUAAUCAAUUUUUAAAAAAAACUAAUUUUAAAAAAGAAAGACUGCUUAUUUGCCAUUAACAACUUAUUGUGUCUUAGUUGAAUCAGAUUCUUUCUUCUGAGCAUUUGGUUGAGAUGAUAUGGAAGAAUACUGGUGAAAUAUUGUUUCCUGUAACAUUUCUCUUUAAGCUGAUACUCCAUGUGUAAAUACAUACUUAGUUCCUCCCUGCAUCGAAAUGUAUUGGACCCUUGAUUACCAUAAAAAUAAAUAUUCAGGAUACUCCUAAAUAAAAAUAAGUGUGGUGACUACUGUCUUUGAUAAAUUUAAAUUAUUCCGAAACACAAUUCAUUAUGGAGCCCGAGUUUGCACGAUACUAUAUAGGAUCACUGACAAGUAGUUUGGCAUGAUGAUUAGGGGCACUGGGCCUAGAGAAUGUUAGCCUGUAUUUAAAUCCAGACUCAUCUCAUUAGCAGCUCUGUGAUCAUUGUAGAUGCUUAACUUCUGUGUGUCUUUGUUUCCCCCAUUUUAAAGAAGAAUCAUGUUAGUUUCCAUUUAAUGGGGUUCUGGUUGGAAUUUAAGCAUUAAUACAAGGUUAGAACAAUGCUCACCUCUAAGACAGCAAAAUGAUAGUUUUGGUGAUUCUUUUCAGGGCUCAAGAGUACCAUAUACUGGAUUAUGGCAUACUGGCAUACUGAAUGUUUUAAACUGAGAGGAAUUUGGGAAACUGCAGAAGCAGGAAGAUUUCCCUGAACUUCUCUCACAAUUCCUUUCCCCAAUAUAGGCCAUAACGCUUAGGAAGGUUACUUUCUGAACCUCUGUCUUCUUUCUCUCCUAAAGACUCUCGUGUGACAGGUGUUCUGUCCAGUAUCCAAAGGAAAGACAUGUCACACGGGGAUGUCAAAAGCAACCUGAAAAAAACAGGCUUUGCUAAGUUCCUACCAAUUUAAUGCCUUUCGAUCAUACCCUUCUGUCCUCCAAUCAUUCUUCUGCAUGAUCAUUCAUAAAAAUUCAGUUUCCCAUGGUCUCCUGAAGAUUCCUGUGAAAUUUGUAUUAAAUAAAUAAAUGUGCUUUUCUGUUGUUAAUCUGUGUUUUGUUUCAGGAAUGCCAGUGGCAGAAGUUUCAGUGGGUGAGGAAAGAAUUACUUUUUUAUUUCCUACAUUACUGCCUCAGUGACAGCAUAUAGAAAAACACAAGUGAAAAGUCAUUUUUUUAACACAACUAACAAUUUUCAAGCAGAAAUCUGCCGUGUUCAAUUACAUUGAAGAGCUCCUGAGGGAUGGUUGAAAGACAUCAUUGACAACUCAUUCUCUGCUGGUUUUGACCAUCUUCUGGGUGGUUCACUAUUAAAGAAACGAAGCUGAGAAAGGUUAUGUCUUAUCUGAUGCCAAUUGCGUUUGCUGACAGAGAGAACAGAAGCCUACCAGUGGUGAGCCUCCAGGUUCCUCUGAUCUGCAUGUUUCAUCUCUACAGGGGACAUGUGAGGCCGUGGCUGUGAUGCCUGCACGGGUGCUGUGGUGAGGGCAUUUUCCUGGCUGCUGUGUGGACUGCCGGACCCUGUGCACAAGCUGAAGAAUGUGAGAGGUGGAAGGAGGCAGCCCAUUCUCUAGACUCCUCAGAGUCUACAGAAAACAAGCAUUCCAUACAGAUUAGGAGUGGAAAUAUUAUUUGCUGCAGUAAACUUUUCAAAGAAAAGCGUAUUAUCAAAUUCUGGUAUUUAAAAUUGUUAACAGCCAAUAAAAAUAGCUGUCCUCUGUUUUUAAGUUUGAGAGGAGUAACAAAGUCUCAUCCUUUUCAAUCUUGCCCACUUCCUGCUAAGCAAAUAACUGGGUUCUUUUUGAAAACUCAGAGCUGCGUGGGAGUUUUAAAACGGAAAGGACACAGUUUGAAAACUUGGUACGUAUUUCACUUCCUCCUGUCUCUUUCCACCAUUUUAUAACUUGUGUGUUUGAUGAAGAAAUUAAGACCAGAAAGAUUCAGUCAUUUCUCUAUGGCUACACUAUUAGCCAAAGAAGUGAAAUUAGACUUCUUGUUUACUGUAUAUUUCUUGUUUGCUGUUUUACAACACUGAAACCAUACAGAAUGAUGCUUAAUCUCAUUUGAAACUGAUUUUCAAAUCAUUUUCAUCUGAAUGGGCUAAUCCAUAAAAAGAGUGGGAUUUGACAGAUACUUGUGAAUUACUUCAGAAACUGAAAACAACCAUGGCUAAUUGCUGGGGGAGUAACUCAAGGAAAUGGUCCUAAUUGCAUGAAAAUUCGAAGUUACCAAAGACGAUCAAUCAUAAUUUUUUAUUCAUUUUCAACUGUGUUCUGGACGUUAAGGAUACAAAAGAAACACAAAGCAUGGUAUCUGACUUUAAGAAAUAGACUAUUUUGUUAGGUAAACAGUGUAUGUGUUUACAAGAGAUAGAUAUCAAUUGAACUAUGUAGAAUUUCAUGAAAUCUUCAUUGCAGCUUAUUGAAAGGAGAUAGGCAGUAAUAUUCUCUAACUUAUAAAUUAAAAAUGGGGGAGAGAGAUAGAGAGAGAGGGAGAAAGAGAGAGGGAAAGGAAAAGAGGAAGGGGAAGAGGAAAAGCAUGAAGUGGAGCAAGAUAAAGUGAAAUGGUGAAAUGGAACCUCUAUAACAUAAAAGCAGGACACAGCUUGUCUAUCUCCCUUAGCCCAAGGAGUCCUUGGCUGCCCUUUUCCAAAAGAAUUUACUGACUUAAGCAAGGUUCUAAUCACUCUAAUUACCGGAGUCAUUUGCUACUUCAAUAGAUAUUAACCUUGAUGGCCAAUAUUGCCCAGAGUGUUGAUGUAAGAAAAUUCUAGAUUUGGGCAGAAUGUAACUGCCACGUGCAAUCCCAGACCAACUGGAGCCCACCUUGCCAUCAUAAAUUCACUAAAGAGCAUGAUGUCACUGACCUAUAAAAGGAAAAUCAGAAGCACAGGUGACUAACCAAGAAUUUGAGCAUCAGCUGAUCACACAUCUCUCAGCCCUAAUUUUAAUCCAUAAGAAUCUUCACUCCUAACUCAUCUGGGGACCUGGAAAUUAAGCAGAAAUGGCCUGUGUCUUGCUCCAUGCUUUGCACCACCACCUCAAUGUCAGUGAUUGACUUUCUGUGUGUUGGCCAAGUGGACCCCGGUAUGGGAGUCCUACAGCAACACCUCCAACUAGUCUGGGAUGUGGUUUAGCAACACAGGUUGUUCAGGAAUGUGUUUUUUGGUCUUUGGAGUUAUCAAUAUGUUGUGGGUCUAUGGCUUUUCAUGAUGUCCUGGCCAAAUAUCUGAAAGAAGAAGCUAAAACGUUGGCAAAGAGAAAUGAAUAGCAUGGGGCAACAUAAGUUUUGUCACCAGAGAAAAGAGCCGUCGAAAGCUGUGGGGUCCUUGUCUUCGUGCAAGAAAGAAUUCAGGCAGGUGUGAGACAGAGUGAAGUGAUAGGGUUUUAUUGGGGAUAGAGCAUCCAUCAGAAUGGAAAACCAGAUAGAGUACCCAGUCACUCAGAAUAGGAAAGAGUGAGGUUGCUUGGUUGA
Oryctolagus cuniculus (rabbit) is the source of this 7110-nucleotide non-coding RNA. The record is from RefSeq and is a predicted model, not a curated record. Lineage: Eukaryota; Metazoa; Chordata; Mammalia; Lagomorpha; Leporidae.